RNAcentral lists this ribosomal RNA (446 nucleotides) under uncultured bacterium. RNAcentral's name for it is "partial 16S ribosomal RNA". It matches the Rfam family "Bacterial small subunit ribosomal RNA", at positions 338 to 795 of the family's 1533-position model. The record is from RNAcentral.
CCUACGGGCGGCUGCAGUCGAGAAUCAUUCACAAUGGGGGAAACCCUGAUGGUGCGACGCCGCGUGGGGGAAUGAAGGUCUUCGGAUUGUAAACCCCUGUCAUGUGGGAGCAAAUUAAAAAGAUAGUACCACAAGAGGAAGAGACGGCUAACUCUGUGCCAGCAGCCGCGGUAAUGCAGAGGUCUCAAGCGUUGUUCGGAAUCACGGGGCGUAAAGCGUGCGUAGGCUGUUUCGUAAGUCGUGUGUGAAAGGCGCGGGCUCAACCCGCGGACGGCACAUGAUACUGCGAGACUAGAGUAAUGGAGGGGGAACCGGAAUUCUCGGUGUAGCAGUGAAAGGCGUAGAUAUCGAGAGGAACACUCGUGGCGAAGGCGGGUUCCUGGACAUUAACUGACGCUGAGGCACGAAGGCCAGGGGAGCGAAAGGGAUUAGAUACCCGAGUAGUC